AAAACGAAUGAUGGAAUCAGAUGCUGCUAUGACUGAGGACAUUGCUUACAAUAUUAUUCCCCUUGAUACCACUUCAACUACAAAUGCUAUCGUGUCUUUCAGUGAGGUACGUGCAGCAGUAUCAGCUCUGAAGUACUUCAGAGGCUUACCAAAAUUGCCUGGAGAUUUUUCUUUACCAUCAACAAGGAGCAUCGAUUUGUUUGAUUUUCUGCAUUACUCUUUUGGAUUUCAGCAAGGCAAUGUUUCCAAUCAACGAGAACAUAUUGUCCACCUCCUCGCAAAUGAGCAGACCCGGCUUCGUAUUCCUGAAGAACCUGAACCGAUAUUGGAUGAGGCUG
This 338-nucleotide unclassified non-coding RNA is filed under the name Hevea brasiliensis (rubber tree). Lineage: Eukaryota; Viridiplantae; Streptophyta; Magnoliopsida; Malpighiales; Euphorbiaceae. The record is from RNAcentral.